This 2989-nucleotide ribosomal RNA is filed under the name Salmonella enterica subsp. enterica. RNAcentral describes it as "23S ribosomal RNA". It matches the Rfam family "Bacterial large subunit ribosomal RNA". Lineage: Bacteria; Pseudomonadati; Pseudomonadota; Gammaproteobacteria; Enterobacterales; Enterobacteriaceae. RNAcentral also lists the same sequence under 1 other name. The record is from RNAcentral.
GGUUAAGCGACUAAGCGUACACGGUGGAUGCCCUGGCAGUCAGAGGCGAUGAAGGGCGUGCUAAUCUGCGAUAAGCGCCGGUAAGGUGAUAUGAACCGUUAUAACCGGCGAUACCCGAAUGGGGAAACCCAGUGUGACUCGUCACACUAUCAUUAACUGAAUCCAUAGGUUAAUGAGGCGAACCGGGGGAACUGAAACAUCUAAGUACCCCGAGGAAAAGAAAUCAACCGAGAUUCCCCCAGUAGCGGCGAGCGAACGGGGAGGAGCCCAGAGCCUGAAUCAGCAUGUGUGUUAGUGGAAGCGUCUGGAAAGGCGCGCGAUACAGGGUGACAGCCCCGUACACAAAAGCGCAUGUGCUGUGAGCUCGAUGAGUAGGGCGGGACACGUGGUAUCCUGUCUGAAUAUGGGGGGACCAUCCUCCAAGGCUAAAUACUCCUGACUGACCGAUAGUGAACCAGUACCGUGAGGGAAAGGCGAAAAGAACCCCGGCGAGGGGAGUGAAAAAGAACCUGAAACCGUGUACGUACAAGCAGUGGGAGCACAGGUUUACCUGUGUGACUGCGUACCUUUUGUAUAAUGGGUCAGCGACUUAUAUUCUGUAGCAAGGUUAACCGAAUAGGGGAGCCGGAGGGAAACCGAGUCUUAACCGGGCGUUAAGUUGCAGGGUAUAGACCCGAAACCCGGUGAUCUAGCCAUGGGCAGGUUGAAGGUUGGGUAACACUAACUGGAGGACCGAACCGACUAAUGUUGAAAAAUUAGCGGAUGACCUGUGGCUGGGGGUGAAAGGCCAAUCAAACCGGGAGAUAGCUGGUUCUCCCCGAAAGCUAUUUAGGUAGCGCCUCGUGAAUUCAUCUCCGGGGGUAGAGCACUGUUUCGGCUAGGGGGCCAUCCCGGCUUACCAACCCGAUGCAAACUGCGAAUACCGGAGAAUGUUAUCACGGGAGACACACGGCGGGUGCUAACGUCCGUCGUGAAGAGGGAAACAACCCAGACCGCCAGCUAAGGUCCCAAAGUCAUGGUUAAGUGGGAAACGAUGUGGGAAGGCCCAGACAGCCAGGAUGUUGGCUUAGAAGCAGCCAUCAUUUAAAGAAAGCGUAAUAGCUCACUGGUCGAGUCGGCCUGCGCGGAAGAUGUAACGGGGCUAAACCAUGCACCGAAGCUGCGGCAGCGAACGUAUCACUUAAAGCGAUUCAGCGGGUUACGAUUGACGGAGCGAAGCGACGUCAAAGCGUAUACAAAGUCGAGUCGGUUUAAGGAUACGUUCGUUGGGUAGGGGAGCGUUCUGUAAGCCUGCGAAGGUGGCCUGUGAGGGUUGCUGGAGGUAUCAGAAGUGCGAAUGCUGACAUAAGUAACGAUAAAGCGGGUGAAAAGCCCGCUCGCCGGAAGACCAAGGGUUCCUGUCCAACGUUAAUCGGGGCAGGGUGAGUCGACCCCUAAGGCGAGGCCGAAAGGCGUAGUCGAUGGGAAACGGGUUAAUAUUCCCGUACUUGGUGUUACUGCGAAGGGGGGACGGAGAAGGCUAUGUUGGCCGGGCGACGGUUGUCCCGGUUUAAGCGUGUAGGUGUGUGUUCCAGGUAAAUCCGGUUCACUUUAACACUGAGGCGUGACGACGAGGCACUACGGUGCUGAAGCAACAAAUGCCCUGCUUCCAGGAAAAGCCUCUAAGCAUCAGGUAACAUCAAAUCGUACCCCAAACCGACACAGGUGGUCAGGUAGAGAAUACCAAGGCGCUUGAGAGAACUCGGGUGAAGGAACUAGGCAAAAUGGUGCCGUAACUUCGGGAGAAGGCACGCUGACAUGUAGGUGAAGUGAUUUACUCACGGAGCUGAAGUCAGUCGAAGAUACCAGCUGGCUGCAACUGUUUAUUAAAAACACAGCACUGUGCAAACACGAAAGUGGACGUAUACGGUGUGACGCCUGCCCGGUGCCGGAAGGUUAAUUGAUGGGGUCAGCGCAAGCGAAGCUCCUGAUCGAAGCCCCGGUAAACGGCGGCCGUAACUAUAACGGUCCUAAGGUAGCGAAAUUCCUUGUCGGGUAAGUUCCGACCUGCACGAAUGGCGUAAUGAUGGCCAGGCUGUCUCCACCCGAGACUCAGUGAAAUUGAACUCGCUGUGAAGAUGCAGUGUACCCGCGGCAAGACGGAAAGACCCCGUGAACCUUUACUAUAGCUUGACACUGAACAUUGAGCCUUGAUGUGUAGGAUAGGUGGGAGGCUUUGAAGUGUGGACGCCAGUCUGCAUGGAGCCGACCUUGAAAUACCACCCUUUAAUGUUUGAUGUUCUAACGUGGACCCGUAAUCCGGGUUGCGGACAGUGUCUGGUGGGUAGUUUGACUGGGGCGGUCUCCUCCUAAAGAGUAACGGAGGAGCACGAAGGUUGGCUAAUCCUGGUCGGACAUCAGGAGGUUAGUGCAAUGGCAUAAGCCAGCUUGACUGCGAGCGUGACGGCGCGAGCAGGUGCGAAAGCAGGUCAUAGUGAUCCGGUGGUUCUGAAUGGAAGGGCCAUCGCUCAACGGAUAAAAGGUACUCCGGGGAUAACAGGCUGAUACCGCCCAAGAGUUCAUAUCGACGGCGGUGUUUGGCACCUCGAUGUCGGCUCAUCACAUCCUGGGGCUGAAGUAGGUCCCAAGGGUAUGGCUGUUCGCCAUUUAAAGUGGUACGCGAGCUGGGUUUAGAACGUCGUGAGACAGUUCGGUCCCUAUCUGCCGUGGGCGCUGGAGAACUGAGGGGGGCUGCUCCUAGUACGAGAGGACCGGAGUGGACGCAUCACUGGUGUUCGGGUUGUCAUGCCAAUGGCACUGCCCGGUAGCUAAAUGCGGAAGAGAUAAGUGCUGAAAGCAUCUAAGCACGAAACUUGCCCCGAGAUGAGUUCUCCCUGAGACUUAGAGUCUCCUGAAGGAACGUUGAAGACGACGACGUUGAUAGGCCGGGUGUGUAAGCGCAGCGAUGCGUUGAGCUAACCGGUACUAAUGAACCGUGAGGCUUAACCUU